GAUGAACGCUGACAGAAUGCUUAACACAUGCAAGUCGAUGGGGAAGUGGUGCUUGCACCAUGGUAACCAUGGCGGACGGGUGAGUAACGCGUAAGGAACUUGCCUGCGGGACUGGGAUAACAGCAGGAAACUGUUGAUAAUACCGGAUAAGGUCAUUAAGCUGCAUAGCUUAGUGAUGAAAGGAGACGCCUGCGGAGAGCCUUGCGUCCUAUUAGCUAGUUGGAGGGGUAACGGCCCACCAAGGCGAAGAUAGGUAGCCGGCCUGAGAGGGUGGACGGCCACAAGGGGACUGAGAUACGGCCCUUACUCCUACGGGAGGCAGCAGUGGGGAAUAUUGGACAAUGGGGGCAACCCUGAUCCAGCAAUUCUGUGUGCACGAAGACGGUUUUCGGAUUGUAAAGUGCUUUCAGCAGGGAAGAAGGAAGUGACGGUACCUGCAGAAGAAGCGACGGCUAAAUACGUGCCAGCAGCCGCGGUAAUACGUAUGUCGCGAGCGCUAUCCGGAAUUAUUGGGCAUAAAGGGCAUCUAGGCGGCCUUCCAAGUCAGGGGUGAAAACCUGCGGCUCAACCGCAGGCCUGCCUUUGAAACUGAUAGGCUGGAGUACCGGAGAGGUGGACGGAACUGCACGAGUAGAGGUGAAAUUCGUAGAUAUGUGCAGGAAUGCCGAUGAUGAAGAUAGUUCACUGGACGGUAACUGACGCUGAAGUGCGAAAGCCGGGGGAGCGAACAGG
This 732-nucleotide ribosomal RNA is filed under the name uncultured Leptotrichia sp. Its description in RNAcentral is "bacterial SSU rRNA". It matches the Rfam family "Bacterial small subunit ribosomal RNA", at positions 28 to 776 of the family's 1533-position model. The record is from RNAcentral. Lineage: Bacteria; Fusobacteriati; Fusobacteriota; Fusobacteriia; Fusobacteriales; Leptotrichiaceae.